Herpailurus yagouaroundi (jaguarundi) is the source of this 448-nucleotide long non-coding RNA. RefSeq lists it as uncharacterized. The transcript is spliced from 2 exons. Lineage: Eukaryota; Metazoa; Chordata; Mammalia; Carnivora; Felidae. The record is from RefSeq and is a predicted model, not a curated record.
AAUCUAGAACCAGCAGAAUCUGAAUAAGAAUGUAUUGCGGGCUUCCACUUUGUCCAGGAGAGAGGCUACUGAUUCUAAUGACCAGGAUCAAUACCUAUUAUCAGGACAGAGCACCUUGGAAAGCAGAGAAGACUAUGGAAACACCCCUCCCUCAUUCCCAUGUAGUCGUGCUAUCUUCAGAAGGGGUUACUUGGAUCCACUGGUCUAUCAGUUCAAGCCUCAAGAAGUUUUGCUACUUAAAUGCAAGUUUCUCCUGCCCAUCUAGACCUAAGACAUGCUUGGCUCUUCUUAAUCUGAUAUUGGAUCUAGACAAGUAAUCAACUCACAGAGUGGCUGAGAGAUUCACAGCAGCACCCUUUUUUUUUUUAAUUGUUUUCAAAUGUAAAAAUAAUAUGUAAUAUUGGGAGUAUUCAUAACAUUUAGCAGAAUAAAGAAAAGGGGUGCCUGG